UACGAAGGGUGCAAGCGUUACUCGGAAUUACUGGGCGUAAAGCGUGCGUAGGUGGUUCGUUAAGUCUGAUGUGAAAGCCCUGGGCUCAACCUGGGAAUGGCAUUGGAAACUGGCGACCUAGAGUGCGGUAGAGGGUAGUGGAAUUCCCGGUGUAGCAGUGAAAUGCGUAGAGAUCGGGAGGAACAUCUGUGGCGAAGGCGGCUCACUGGCACGAUACUGACGCUGAGGUGCGAAAGCGUGGGGAGCAAACAGG
Molecule: ribosomal RNA, 253 nt
Filed under: uncultured bacterium
Lineage: Bacteria
Description: partial 16S ribosomal RNA
Rfam family: Bacterial small subunit ribosomal RNA
Source: RNAcentral